AGUGAACGCUGGCGGUAGGCCUAACACAUGCAAGUCGAACGGAAGCACAGUAAGAGCUUGCUCCUACGGGUGGCGAGUGGCGGACGGGUGAGAAAUAGAUAGGCAUCUACUUUUUCGUGGGGGAUAACGUAGGGACACUUACGCUACUACCGCAUACGACCUACGGGUGAAAGCAGGAGAUCUUCGGACCUUGCGCGUUAGAAUGAGCCGAUGUCGGAUUAGCUAGUUGGCGGGGUAAAGGCACACCAAGGCGACGAUGCGUAGCUGGUCUGAGAGGAUGAUCAGCCACACUGGAACUGAGACACGGUCCAGACUCCUACGGGAGGCAGCAGUGGGGAAUAUUGGACAAUGGGCGCAAGCCUGAUCCAGCCAUACCGCGUGAGUGAAGAAGGCCUUCGGGUUGUAAAGCCCUUUUGUUAGGAAAGAAAAGCAGCAUGUUAAAACCCCGCUGUUCUGACGGUACCCAAAGAAUAAGCACCGGCUAACUUCGUG
RNAcentral lists this ribosomal RNA (492 nucleotides) under uncultured bacterium. RNAcentral describes it as "partial 16S ribosomal RNA". It matches the Rfam family "Bacterial small subunit ribosomal RNA", at positions 29 to 507 of the family's 1533-position model. The record is from RNAcentral.